RNAcentral lists this unclassified non-coding RNA (647 nucleotides) under uncultured Prochlorococcus sp. Its description in RNAcentral is "partial 16S-23S ribosomal RNA intergenic spacer; may also contain 16S ribosomal RNA and 23S ribosomal RNA". The stretch from base 305 to 377 matches the Rfam family "tRNA". The record is from RNAcentral. Lineage: Bacteria; Bacillati; Cyanobacteriota; Cyanophyceae; Synechococcales; Prochlorococcaceae.
UUGUGGAGGAGGACGCCGAAGGUGGGGCUAAUGACUGGGGUGAAGUCGUAACAAGGUAGCCGUACCGGAAGGUGCGGCUGGAUCACCUCCUAACAGGGAGACAACAAAAUGUUUAAUAUUAUUAUUUUGUCACCUUAGGUCGAUCGGUAUCUCACGUUCUUAUUUUGUUAAGAAAUUCAUUUCCUAAGUUUUUCUAGGUCACACCCAUUAUUUUUCCUGGGCCAUUAGCUCAGGUGGUUAGAGCGCACCCCUGAUAAGGGUGAGGUCCCUGGUUCAAGUCCAGGAUGGCCCAUAUCUCUAUGUUGGGGGUAUAGCUCAGUUGGUAGAGCGCCUGCUUUGCAAGCAGGAUGUCAGCGGUUCGAGUCCGCUUACCUCCACUGAUUACCACCUCUUCCAUAACCGGUAUAAAGGAAAUGUUUUGAGUUGUGAUCAUUAUUCUGAACGAAUCUAGCUUCCUAAUGAAAUCAUUAAGAUGCUGGACUCAUUGAAUUAAUUUCAUUGUUUUCAGAGAACCUUGACAACUGCAUAGAUUAUUUUUAAAGACAAUAAGCAUCUUUAAUGAUGCAGAUUUAUUAUUUGUGCGAAUGCAUUAAUAACAAUUCUAUUAAGCUUAUGCUUCAAUUUUGAAGUUAUUGGUCAAGCUACAA